CCUACGGGUGGCAGCAGUGAGGAAUAUUGGUCAAUGGCCGGAAGGCUGAACCAGCCAAGUCGCUUGAGGGAAUAAUGCCCUAUGGGUCGUACACCUCUUUUGUCAGGGUGCAAAGGCGUCCACGUGUGGACGAGAGGAGAGUACCUGAAGAAAAAGCAUCGGCUAACUCCGUGCCAGCAGCCGCGGUAAUACGGAGGAUGCGAGCGUUAUCCGGUUUUCUUGGGUUAAAGGGGUGCGUAGGCGGUUCGUUAAGUCCGUGGUCAAAUUGAGGGGCUCAACCCCUUCCCGCCAUUGAAACUGGCGCUCUUGAGUGGAAGAGAAGUAUGCGGAAUGCGUGGUGGAGCGGUGAAAUGCAUAGAUAUCACGCAGAACCCCGAUUGCGAAGGCAGCAUGCCGGCUUCCAACUGACGCUGAAGCACGAAAGCGUGGGUAUCGAACAGGAUUAGAUACCCCUGUAGUC
This 460-nucleotide ribosomal RNA is filed under the name uncultured bacterium. RNAcentral's name for it is "partial 16S ribosomal RNA". It matches the Rfam family "Bacterial small subunit ribosomal RNA", at positions 338 to 795 of the family's 1533-position model. The record is from RNAcentral.